UCCGGCACGAGGCGAAGGUUGGUGCUUUCUACUGGUGCCAACUACGCUCUGCUCCACCGCAAAGCAUCAUGGGAUGAUAAGUCGGGAUGAGGCGAAGCGGGGCGUUGUGGGGAGAGAUAUUGAAGCUCAAUCACCUGCGGAGGAGCUGAGGGGAUCUGAGGGCUGCUCGGGGGACUUUGCGAUGCAAAUGCGAGGUAAUUACCUAAAGCCAGGAGAGUGAGUGGAAGGCAGCCCAGGCUAAAAUAGAGCAAGAAGGAAAAGCGACGGUGAGAGACGCGAAAGAUUCACAAGCCUGUUGAUGCUGACUGAUUGGAGCACUCGGAAUGAAGGGCAAAAAUAGAGGGGUGUGGUGUAGGAAAGGGAUUCACAGAAGAUAGCUGUGCCCUUGUGUUUUAAGCCCAUUCUUGUGUCUGUGCGUGUCCUCUUUUUCUUCUGCAAAAAAUAUUCAUGUGUUCCAUGAUUUUCCUGACGCCAGAGAGAUUUGGUUAGUUGUCGUUGUGUGAUUAGCUUCAUGUAUGUCAUGGUUGCCAUGUUUAAGUGUAAUAGGCUGUAUAUGGGGAAUAAAAGCCUUUGACUAUGUGGC
Molecule: non-coding RNA, 583 nt
Organism: Salmo salar (Atlantic salmon)
Lineage: Eukaryota; Metazoa; Chordata; Actinopteri; Salmoniformes; Salmonidae
Source: RefSeq, a predicted model, not a curated record